GACGAACGCUGGCGGCGUGCUUAACACAUGCAAGUCGAACGGAAAGGCCUCUUUCCGGGUGGUACUCGAGUGGCGAACGGGUGAGUAACACGUGAGUAACCUGCCCUUGACUUUGGGAUAACUUCAGGAAACUGGGGCUAAUACCGGAUAGGAGCUCCUGCUGCAUGGUGGGGGCUGGAAAGUUUCGGCGGUUGGGGAUGGACUCGCGGCUUAUCAGCUUGUUGGUGGGGUAGUGGCUUACCAAGGCUUUGACGGGUAGCCGGCCUGAGAGGGUGACCGGCCACAUUGGGACUGAGAUACGGCCCAGACUCCUACGGGAGGCAGCAGUGGGGAAUAUUGCACAAUGGGUGGAAGCCUGAUGCAGCAACGCCGUGUGCGGGAUGACGGCCUUCGGGUUGUAAACCGCUUUCGCUCAUGACGAAGCUUUGUGUGACGGUAGUGGGUAAAGAAGCACCGGCUAACUACGU
RNAcentral lists this ribosomal RNA (467 nucleotides) under uncultured bacterium. RNAcentral describes it as "partial 16S ribosomal RNA". It matches the Rfam family "Bacterial small subunit ribosomal RNA", at positions 28 to 506 of the family's 1533-position model. The record is from RNAcentral.